GCUCCAGACCAAACCGCCAGACCACCUCGCGGGGCGGGGCCAGAAAGCGGCGAAGCGGAGCCUGACGUCACGCCCGGCGCCCUCCGGGCCAAUGGAUGGCCGCGCGUUGGGGGCGGGGCCGCGCGAUCCUGAUGCAGUGAAAAAGAAUUCUGCCUGCGGAUACAGAAGACGGCAAGAAAAUGGGUUCGAUCCCUGAGUUGGGAAGAUCCCCUGGAGAAGGAAAUGACAACUCCAGAACUGUCUGGGAAAUCUCAUAGACGGAGGAGCCUCGCAUUUUUACAAUCCAUGGUAUCUGCAAAAGAGUGAGACACAAUUUAGCGACUUAGCAACAACAACGUCAAUCGGCAUGAAUUGCGUGUAACAAGACCCAGGUUAUUCAUACGUAAAAUAAAGCUUGAAGCUAGAAAGAUCUCUGCAAAACUCAUAGUCAUUUAUUUAGCGGGGCGGUGGCUUACCAAGAAGAAGAAGAAGAAAAAAAAAAGACAAGGUUUACUCUCUCCUUUGAUGGUUCCAGAAAAAUUAAUCAGCCAACUUAAACUGUUGCUUUCCAGUCUUCAAGGUUAACUGCUGGUUUACCCCUAAUAGAGAAUUGUUAUCAGAUUUCAUUUAAAAAGAGUGAGAUUCCAACUCGAAAAUUUCAUAGUUCUAUAGCAAUAUGAUAAUAAUAUAUUUGUAAUUAUAUUUAAAAAUCGAGUAAGAUAUGGAAAAUAUCUUAAGAUAUGGAAAAAGGACUCAAGAGCUAGCUCGAGCUGCAAAUUGGUUAGAAUGGUCCUAUUGAAAAAGCAUUUGGGUUAUAGGCGCUCUAGCUUUUAGACAGCUCCUAGUUUUAUAAGUAGGAUUUUAUAAAUAGAUAUAUUUGUUAAUAAAAUAAAAUUUUAUAUAUCGGGUGACUCAAGUUUAUAUUUGAUCUUGGAUUAGCUCCCAGAGCAUUUUUGACUGUUGUCUAUUCAGUUAAUAAAUAAUUACUAAGUGCCUGCUUAGUGGAAGACAGGAUGCAAUGGUUUCUUGAUGUCACUAGUUUUAAUCACAAUUUUCAUAAGGAAUUAAAAAUUCCUCUUAAUUAUGUACUAUUAUCUGCUAAAGUCAGCUGUUAACAUUUCCUAAUACCUUAGAGUUCAUUUCAUUCCUCUGCUGUUAGUCAUACUUCAGUGAUGAAUUUCUUUCACAUGUUUGCUUUUUAAAAAUGUUCAUACUAGAUCUUUUUUUUUUUACUGUAAUCACUAUUUAAUCAAGGCUAAUGUUUAUAGUUCAAGUUGAUGGGUCGAAACCAUGCUCUUUUCCUAAAUCCUAUUGAAAUCACGGAAGAAUUACACAUAUUUGAAAAUCACUGUCAGUGGGCCAGAAAUUGAGGAAUUUCUAGAAGAUUUAAAACAAGCCAGCAGCAUUGGAUAAUUGAAAAACUGAGAAAAGAGAAACGUGGACCUGCAAAGGGAAAGAAGGGACCCCUGGAGCUGCCACUUUACACAGCCUUGCUUAAAAACUCUUAUAAUAAUUCAACAUAUUUUAGAUUAUAUCAUAUAUGCCUUGUUAUGAUUGCUAUAUUAGAGUAAAAUAUAAACAAUACAUUCCUUCCUCAUACUUCUGUGCAAUGUUAUAACUUUUGCAAGAAAUGUUUAAUGAGAUUAACUUGGAUCUUAUCUCAUUUAAAAUAUUUAAUGUUAUCUUAUUUGAUUAAAUAAUGAAACAUAUUUACUUAUUUGUCCAAAAUCA
Molecule: long non-coding RNA, 1710 nt
Organism: Bubalus bubalis (water buffalo)
Lineage: Eukaryota; Metazoa; Chordata; Mammalia; Artiodactyla; Bovidae
Exons: 2
Source: RefSeq, a predicted model, not a curated record